GAAUAUUGGACAAUGGGGGGAACCCUGAUCCAGCCAUGCCGCGUGUGUGAAGAAGGCCUUUUGGUUGUAAAGCACUUUAAGCGAGGAGGAGGCUACUCUAGUUAAUACCUGGGGAUAGGGGACGUUACUCGCAGAAUAAGCACCGGCUGCCUCGGCGCAAGCAGCCGCGGUAAAACAGCGGGUGCGAGCGUUAAUCGGAUUUACUGGGCGUAAAGCGCGCGUAGGUGGCUAAUUAAGUCAAAUGUGAAAUCCCCGGGCUUAACUUGGGAAUGGCAUUCGAUACUGUUUGGCUAGAGUAUGGGAGAGGAUGGUAGAAUUCCAGGUGUAGCGGUGAAAUGAGUAGAGAUCUGGAGGAAUACCGAUGGCGAAGGCAGCCAUCUGGCCUAAUACUGACACUGAGGUGCGAAAGCAUGGGGAGCAAACAG
Molecule: ribosomal RNA, 425 nt
Filed under: uncultured bacterium
Lineage: Bacteria
Description: partial 16S ribosomal RNA
Rfam family: Bacterial small subunit ribosomal RNA
Source: RNAcentral